AUUGAACGCUGGCGGAAUGCUUUACACAUGCAAGUCGAACGGCAGCACGGGGGCAACCCUGGUGGCGAGUGGCGAACGGGUGAGUAAUACAUCGGAACGUGCCCAGUCGUGGGGGAUAACGUAGCGAAAGUUACGCUAAUACCGCAUACGAUCUACGGAUGAGAGCGGGGGACCGUAAGGCCUUGCGCGAUUGGAACGGCCGAUGUCAGAUUAGGUAGUUGGUGAGGUAAAGGCUCACCAAGCCGACGAUCUGUAGCUGGUCUGAGAGGACGACCAGCCACACUGGGACUGAGACACGGCCCAGACUCCUACGGGAGGCAGCAGUGGGGAAUUUUGGACAAUGGGCGCAAGCCUGAUCCAGCCAUUCCGCGUGCAGGACGAAGGCCUUCGGGUUGUAAACUGCUUUUGUACGGAACGAAAAGGCUCUGGUUAAUACCUGGGGCUCAUGACGGUACCGUAAGAAUAAGCACCGGCUAACUACGUGCCAGCCGCCGCAGUAA
RNAcentral lists this ribosomal RNA (500 nucleotides) under uncultured bacterium. Its description in RNAcentral is "partial 16S ribosomal RNA". It matches the Rfam family "Bacterial small subunit ribosomal RNA", at positions 30 to 523 of the family's 1533-position model. The record is from RNAcentral.